GUUAUAUGGUCAAGUAGAAAAGCGCACACGGUGGAUGCCUUGGCGAUAACAGGCGAUGAAGGACGUGAUAGCCUGCGAAAAGCUGCGGCGAGUUGGCAAAUAAACAUUGACCCGCAGAUGUCCGAAUGGGGAAACCCACUCCUUUGGAGUAUUCUUAUCUGAAUCUAUAGGGUAAGAAAGCAAACCUAGGGAACUGAAACAUCUAAGUACCUAGAGGAAAAGAAAUCAACCGAGAUUCCGUCAGUAGUGGCGAGCGAAAGCGGAACAGCCCGUAUGAUAUAGUCGUAUUAUGAGCAGAAUGGUCUGGAAAGUCCAGCGACACAGGGUGAUAGCCC
Molecule: ribosomal RNA, 335 nt
Filed under: Thioflexithrix psekupsensis
Lineage: Bacteria; Pseudomonadati; Pseudomonadota; Gammaproteobacteria; Thiotrichales
Description: bacterial LSU rRNA
Rfam family: Bacterial large subunit ribosomal RNA
Source: RNAcentral